This is a long non-coding RNA of Felis catus (domestic cat), 1934 nucleotides long. RefSeq lists it as uncharacterized. The record is from RefSeq and is a predicted model, not a curated record. Lineage: Eukaryota; Metazoa; Chordata; Mammalia; Carnivora; Felidae. The transcript is spliced from 2 exons.
CCCUGAAACACAGGGAAGUGACAAAAAGGCACAUGAUGCCUGGGUGAGGCCUCGCUGGGCACGGGAGUGUGAUUAAGAGACCCCGCCCUAUCCCUCAGUCAGGCAAGCAAGGCGCCCAGAAGACUUCAGGAAAGGAGAGAAAGCAAUGCAGCUGCACUCCCGGCCUGGAAUCCGCUGCCUGCCCGUCCGGUCCUGUCUCUUCGCCGGUGACCCCAAAGUGUUUAGGAUCUGACCGUUACAGACGCCUCUGGCUGUUCCCAAGUCCAGUAAAGGAAAAACAGCUGAUCGCUCGCUCAAGGCCGGAGAUACAACUAAAAGCAUUAGCUGAAGAAUGAAUUCGCCUUGACAAGAGUUACGCAAAAAGACAGUCACAGACAGACAUGGGAAGUUUUUAUAACACGACGGGACAGAAGAGGCACGCCGCUGAAAAUCUGAGAAGAAAACCUGAUUGCGUGUUUUGCGACUAGAGGCAGAUCUUUUGUGCAAACAUCAAAUGGUCUACUCACAAGGUCCUUUGUAGGGUUUCUAACUCGGAAGAAGUAGACGACCAAGGUGGUGGGUAAGAGCUCCCACACGAAAAGAACCACUCCAAACACCACAUAUCCGGCAUCCCCCAGCUGGUUUUUCAGAUCCGCCUGCAGAAAAGAGAGGAAAUGGAGUCACCAGACUGAGGGCGGAGGAAAGAAGUCUGAUCGGAUUCUUCCUAACGUGAACAGAGACUAAUUCUAAUGCUACGACGUGCGUGCUGAAAUCAGGCAGGACUAAUGGUCCAGACCUCAGGUGGGGGCAUAUUUCAGCCACACAGGAGAGACAAUUAUCACCUUCAAGAGAAUCCAGGACAGAAACUGCCCGUCUCUGAUGUUUUACUCCUCCAGCCUCCAAAAUCUUCCUCAUAUCCUAAUUAAGUCUCCUGAAUUUGAUUUUCUUUCCUUCAACAAUCAAAUAAUGAGCCAUUAUGUCACCCCCUCCCCAAUUUUUAAGAGCGGCAUGUAACCAUGACCCUUUGUCUCAUCCCUAGGACAAACACGUGAAUUUUUUAAGCAGGGGAGAGGGGCAGAGAGAGAGAGGGGGAGAAUCCCCUAUGGGCUCCAUAACCCCAGGACUGUGACCCAAGCCAAAAUCAAGAGUCGGAUGCUCAACCAACUGAGCCACCCAGGAGCCCCAACCCAUCAAUUGCGCAGGCUAGGUUGUCUGGAAACAACUGUUCAGAGUCCAGGACGUUUGUCCAGACCAGUGAGACAGCUGAAUGGGCCUGGUGCGUCGUCCCUCCCUUCCUGCAGGGCACAGGGCCUGUGAGAAGCACACAUGGUCGUGUCUGGGCAACUCCACCAGAGAGGCCAGCAUCUCAAACCUAGACAGUGUGCCAAAAUCGGGCCACAGCUGGCCAAUCACCUCAACUCGAUCCUUCUGCCUUCACCAUUACGUGGGAUUCGAAGUACAGUAAGCAGCACUAACCAUGCCACUCUCGGAAGGAUCCCUCUCGAGCUUUGCAUCUCCAGUCCCAUCUCUGCUACAUCUCGGCAGUACGCUGUCCCUUCUAUUCAUUCUACACGAAUAGCGGGCAGCUUGUGGCCACCUGCUAGAUUUGCUCCUAGAUUCUCUCAGUUGGAACCCACAGGUCUAGCUACUCGUGAACAACCAUCCCCCUAAAAAAAACAACAGGACUUUCAAGGUCGUGGUAUUUUAAAUUUGUUAUCACCAGAAGCCCUUAACUGAAAGAAAAAUUGAAAUAAUCAUUUUGUUAAAACCUAAUCUCUGUUGUUUAAUGGAUAUGAAGUUUCAGUUUGGGAAGAUGAGCAAGUUCUGGAGACAGAAGGCGGUGAUGGUUGCCCAACAAUGAGAAUGUGCUUAAUGCCAGUGAUCUGUACACUUAAAAAUGGUUACAAUUGUAAUUUUUAUGUAUAUUUUACUUCAUGAGAUCCUUUGUCUUACGA